ACAAUGGGGGCAACCCUGAUCCAGCCAUGUCCGCGUGAGUGAAGAAGGCCUUCGGGUUGUAAAGCUCUUUCGCAAGGGAAGAAAACUUAUGAUCGAAUAAAUCAUGAGGUUGACGGUACCUUGAUAAGAAGCACCGGCUAACUACGUGCCAGCAGCCGCGGUAAUACGUAGGGUGCGAGCGUUAAUCGGAAUUACUGGGCGUAAAGCGUGCGCAGGCGGUUUUGUAAGUCGGAUGUGAAAUCCCCGGGCUCAACCUGGGAACUGCGUUCGAAACUGCAAGGCUAGAGUGUGUCAGAGGGGGGUAGAAUUCCACGUGUAGCAGUGAAAUGCGUAGAGAUGUGGAGGAAUACCAAUGGCGAAGGCAGCCCCCUGGGAUGACACUGACGCUCAUGCACGAAAGCGUGGGGAGCAAACAGGAUUA
RNAcentral lists this ribosomal RNA (421 nucleotides) under beta proteobacterium SCGC AAA041-F02. RNAcentral describes it as "bacterial SSU rRNA". It matches the Rfam family "Bacterial small subunit ribosomal RNA", at positions 368 to 780 of the family's 1533-position model. Lineage: Bacteria; Pseudomonadati; Pseudomonadota; Betaproteobacteria. The record is from RNAcentral.